Molecule: ribosomal RNA, 250 nt
Filed under: uncultured prokaryote
Description: partial 16S ribosomal RNA
Rfam family: Bacterial small subunit ribosomal RNA
Source: RNAcentral
UACGUAGGGAGCGAGCGUUAUCCGGAUUUAUUGGGCGUAAAGGGUGCGUAGGCGGUUUGUUAAGUAUGAGAUUUAAGCCUGGAGCCUAACUCCAGUUCGUUUCAUAAACUGGCAGACUUGAGUAUGGCAGAGGUAAGCGGGAUUUCUAGUGUAGCGGUUAAAUGCGUAGAUAUUAUAAGGGACACCAGUGGCGAAGGCGGCUUACUGGGCCACAACUGACGCUGAGGCACGAAAGCGUGGGGAGCAAAUA